CCUACGGGAGGCAGCAGUGGGGAAUAUUGCACAAUGGGGGAAACCCUGAUGCAGCGACGCCGCGUGAGUGAAGAAGUAAUUCGUUAUGGAAAGCUCUAUCAGCAGGGAAGAAAAUGACGGUACCUGAGUAAGAAGCCCCGGCUAACUACGUGCCAGCAGCCGCGGUAAUACGUAGGGGGCAAGCGUUAUCCGGAUUUACUGGGUGUAAAGGGAGCGUAGACGGCAGUGCAAGUCUGGAGUGAAAGGCGGGGGCUCAACCCCCGGACUGCUCUGGAGACUGUACGGCUGGAGUGCAGGAGAGGUAAGUGGAAUUCCUAGUGUAGCGGUGAAAUGCGUAGAUAUUAGGAGGAACACCAGUGGCGAAGGCGGCUUACUGGACUGUAACUGACGUUGAGGCUCGAAAGCGUGGGGAGCAAACAGGAUUAGAUACCCCAGUAGUC
RNAcentral lists this ribosomal RNA (440 nucleotides) under uncultured bacterium. RNAcentral describes it as "partial 16S ribosomal RNA". It matches the Rfam family "Bacterial small subunit ribosomal RNA", at positions 338 to 795 of the family's 1533-position model. The record is from RNAcentral.